RNAcentral lists this transfer RNA (65 nucleotides) under Dryodurgades formosana. RNAcentral's name for it is "tRNA-His". The record is from RNAcentral. Lineage: Eukaryota; Metazoa; Arthropoda; Insecta; Hemiptera; Cicadellidae.
AUUUAAGUAUUUUAACUAAAAUAGAGGUUUGUGGUACUUCAGACGUAAUUUCUUUACCUUAAAUU